Molecule: ribosomal RNA, 497 nt
Filed under: uncultured bacterium
Lineage: Bacteria
Description: partial 16S ribosomal RNA
Rfam family: Bacterial small subunit ribosomal RNA
Source: RNAcentral
GAUGAACGCUGGCGGCGUGCCUAAUACAUGCAAGUCGAGCGAACAGACGAGGAGCUUGCUCCUCUGACGUUAGCGGCGGACGGGUGAGUAACACGUGGAUAACCUACCUAUAAGACUGGGAUAACUUCGGGAAACCGGAGCUAAUACCGGAUAAUAUAUUGAACCGCAUGGUUCAAUAGUGAAAGACGGUUUUGCUGUCACUUAUAGAUGGAUCCGCGCCGCAUUAGCUAGUUGGUAAGGUAACGGCUUACCAAGGCAACGAUGCGUAGCCGACCUGAGAGGGUGAUCGGCCACACGGGAACUGAGACACGGUCCAGACUCCUACGGGAGGCAGCAGUAGGGAAUCUUCCGCAAUGGGCGAAAGCCUGACGGAGCAACGCCGCGUGAGUGAUGAAGGUCUUCGGAUCGUAAAACUCUGUUAUUAGUGAAGAACAAAUGUGUAAGUAGCUAUGCACGUCUUGACGGUACCUAAUCAGAAAGCCACGGCUAACUACGUG